This 2752-nucleotide ribosomal RNA is filed under the name Escherichia coli. RNAcentral describes it as "partial 23S ribosomal RNA". It matches the Rfam family "Bacterial large subunit ribosomal RNA". Lineage: Bacteria; Pseudomonadati; Pseudomonadota; Gammaproteobacteria; Enterobacterales; Enterobacteriaceae. The record is from RNAcentral.
AUAGGUUAAUGAGGCGAACCGGGGGAACUGAAACAUCUAAGUACCCCGAGGAAAAGAAAUCAACCGAGAUUCCCCCAGUAGCGGCGAGCGAACGGGGAGGAGCCCAGAGCCUGAAUCAGUGUGUGUGUUAGUGGAAGCGUCUGGAAAGGCGCGCGAUACAGGGUGACAGCCCCGUACACAAAAAUGCACAUACUGUGAGCUCGAUGAGUAGGGCGGGACACGUGGUAUCCUGUCUGAAUAUGGGGGGACCAUCCUCCAAGGCUAAAUACUCCUGACUGACCGAUAGUGAACCAGUACCGUGAGGGAAAGGCGAAAAGAACCCCGGCGAGGGGAGUGAAAAAGAACCUGAAACCGUGUACGUACAAGCAGUGGGAGCCUCUUAAUGGGGUGACUGCGUACCUUUUGUAUAAUGGGUCAGCGACUUAUAUUCUGUAGCAAGGUUAACCGAAUAGGGGAGCCGAAGGGAAACCGAGUCUUAACUGGGCGUUAAGUUGCAGGGUAUAGACCCGAAACCCGGUGAUCUAGCCAUGGGCAGGUUGAAGGUUGGGUAACACUAACUGGAGGACCGAACCGACUAAUGUUGAAAAAUUAGCGGAUGACUUGUGGCUGGGGGUGAAAGGCCAAUCAAACCGGGAGAUAGCUGGUUCUCCCCGAAAGCUAUUUAGGUAGCGCCUCGUGAAUUCAUCUCCGGGGGUAGAGCACUGUUUCGGCAAGGGGGUCAUCCCGACUUACCAACCCGAUGCAAACUGCGAAUACCGGAGAAUGUUAUCACGGGAGACACACGGCGGGUGCUAACGUCCGUCGUGAAGAGGGAAACAACCCAGACCGCCAGCUAAGGUCCCAAAGUCAUGGUUAAGUGGGAAACGAUGUGGGAAGGCCCAGACAGCCAGGAUGUUGGCUUAGAAGCAGCCAUCAUUUAAAGAAAGCGUAAUAGCUCACUGGUCGAGUCGGCCUGCGCGGAAGAUGUAACGGGGCUAAACCAUGCACCGAAGCUGCGGCAGCGACACUAUGUGUUGUUGGGUAGGGGAGCGUUCUGUAAGCCUGUGAAGGUGUGCUGUGAGGCAUGCUGGAGGUAUCAGAAGUGCGAAUGCUGACAUAAGUAACGAUAAAGCGGGUGAAAAGCCCGCUCGCCGGAAGACCAAGGGUUCCUGUCCAACGUUAAUCGGGGCAGGGUGAGUCGACCCCUAAGGCGAGGCCGAAAGGCGUAGUCGAUGGGAAACAGGUUAAUAUUCCUGUACUUGGUGUUACUGCGAAGGGGGGACGGAGAAGGCUAUGUUGGCCGGGCGACGGUUGUCCCGGUUUAAGCGUGUAGGCUGGUUUUCCAGGCAAAUCCGGAAAACCAAGGCUGAGGCGUGAUGACGAGGCACUACGGUGCUGAAGCGACAAAUGCCCUGCUUCCAGGAAAAGCCUCUAAGCAUCAGGUAACAUUAAAUCGUACCCCAAACCGACACAGGUGGUCAGGUAGAGAAUACCAAGGCGCUUGAGAGAACUCGGGUGAAGGAACUAGGCAAAAUGGUGCCGUAACUUCGGGAGAAGGCACGCUGAUAUGUAGGUGAAGCGACUUGCUCGUGGAGCUGAAAUCAGUCGAAGAUACCAGCUGGCUGCAACUGUUUAUUAAAAACACAGCACUGUGCAAACACGAAAGUGGACGUAUACGGUGUGACGCCUGCCCGGUGCCGGAAGGUUAAUUGAUGGGGUUAGCGGUAACGCGAAGCUCUUGAUCGAAGCCCCGGUAAACGGCGGCCGUAACUAUAACGGUCCUAAGGUAGCGAAAUUCCUUGUCGGGUAAGUUCCGACCUGCACGAAUGGCGUAAUGAUGGCCAGGCUGUCUCCACCCGAGACUCAGUGAAAUUGAACUCGCUGUGAAGAUGCAGUGUACCCGCGGCAAGACGGAAAGACCCCGUGAACCUUUACUAUAGCUUGACACUGAACAUUGAGCCUUGAUGUGUAGGAUAGGUGGGAGGCUUUGAAGUGUGGACGCCAGUCUGCAUGGAGCCGACCUUGAAAUACCACCCUUUAAUGUUUGAUGUUCUAACGUUGGCCCGUAAUCCGGGUUGCGGACAGUGUCUGGUGGGUAGUUUGACUGGGGCGGUCUCCUCCUAAAGAGUAACGGAGGAGCACGAAGGUUGGCUAAUCCUGGUCGGACAUCAGGAGGUUAGUGCAAUGGCAUAAGCCAGCUUGACUGCGAGCGUGACGGCGCGAGCAGGUGCGAAAGCAGGUCAUAGUGAUCCGGUGGUUCUGAAUGGAAGGGCCAUCGCUCAACGGAUAAAAGGUACUCCGGGGAUAACAGGCUGAUACCGCCCAAGAGUUCAUAUCGACGGCGGUGUUUGGCACCUCGAUGUCGGCUCAUCACAUCCUGGGGCUGAAGUAGGUCCCAAGGGUAUGGCUGUUCGCCAUUUAAAGUGGUACGCGAGCUGGGUUUAGAACGUCGUGAGACAGUUCGGUCCCUAUCUGCCGUGGGCGCUGGAGAACUGAGGGGGGCUGCUCCUAGUACGAGAGGACCGGAGUGGACGCAUCACUGGUGUUCGGGUUGUCAUGCCAAUGGCACUGCCCGGUAGCUAAAUGCGGAAGAGAUAAGUGCUGAAAGCAUCUAAGCACGAAACUUGCCCCGAGAUGAGUUCUCCCUGACUCCUUGAGGGUCCUGAAGGAACGUUGAAGACGACGACGUUGAUAGGCCGGGUGUGUAAGCGCAGCGAUGCGUUGAGCUAACCGGUACUAAUGAACCGUGAGGCUUAACCUUACAACGCCGAAG